CUGAGAUAAUGAAUUCCUCGUCUCUGAUGAAGUGUGCCUGGUGGCACAGGAAACGCGUUGGAUCUUUUUGGCAUUGACUCUGUAAGCGAACCAUUGGCUUCGAUUUUUGAACAUGGUGUCCGUGAUGUGCAAGAUCUCGCCACAUGUCACCUGAAGACCACCGCCUAUACGCCCUUCCAUGGACUGGUUCACUCGUACAUAGAAUGAAUCCCCUGAAGAGCAGGAGCCGCUCUCAAUGUCAUUCAGCAGUUUGCGAUAUUCUAAGAAACACAAAGAAAAAGAAACAUUUUCAAGGAUUAAAGUUCAUUGUUUUCCCCGCUAUUGACAUAAGAAAAUUAAGUUGUUUUCUUUUCUUAUUCCA
Bombina bombina (fire-bellied toad) is the source of this 361-nucleotide long non-coding RNA. RefSeq lists it as uncharacterized. The record is from RefSeq and is a predicted model, not a curated record. NCBI's taxonomy places the organism in Eukaryota, Metazoa, Chordata, Amphibia, Anura, Bombinatoridae. The transcript is spliced from 2 exons.